UGGGGCUCACCUCUUACCAUUCCGAACAGAGAAGUUAAGCCCAUCAGCGCAGAUGGUACUGGGAAACCGGGAGAGUAUGUCGCCGCCUUCU
RNAcentral lists this ribosomal RNA (91 nucleotides) under Flavobacteriaceae bacterium R38. The record is from RNAcentral. Lineage: Bacteria; Pseudomonadati; Bacteroidota; Flavobacteriia; Flavobacteriales; Flavobacteriaceae.